This 784-nucleotide long non-coding RNA is filed under the name Anas platyrhynchos platyrhynchos (common mallard). RNAcentral describes it as "lncRNA (ENSAPLG00000030344.1)". Lineage: Eukaryota; Metazoa; Chordata; Aves; Anseriformes; Anatidae. The record is from RNAcentral.
ACAAAAAGAUACCUCAGAACACAUAUACGUAGAAUAAACCCUCAAGCUCACCUUUCUGUUACGAAAACUCAUUGUUUGUUGCAGGUGGACAGAUUAGACAUUUCCCUGUCUCCUUUGAGGACAAAAAAAAAAAAAAAAAAAAAAAAAAAAAAAAGCUGUACCUAGCACAGGGCAUUGCCAUCUGUAUGCAUUAGAGUAAGCCAAUUUAAUUCUUAGGAUAAUAGGACUUUCAAAGCUUUCAAAGCUACAGGCAAAAAGAAUAUAUUCCACUUUGUUUUCUUAGAUCCUAGACCUCAUUUUCCUCCCAUCUGAAAUGAUUGCCUUAAUGGUUCCAAGAUCAGGUCAGGAGCCUACAAAAGAUUUUUGUGAGGAUGCUUCACAUCUGGACAUUAGCAAACAGAGUUUCAAGCCACAAGGACACAAUAUUUCACCUUGCCUAAAAGGUGCCCAAGGGAAAAUAAAGGCAGAGAGGACAAGACAAGCAGCAGAAGACGUCUUUCAUUGAUCUAGCAAAACACAAAAUUCAAUUUAUUUAUGAAUGGGAAGUUUUAAAAAAAAAAAAAAAAAAAAAAAAAAAAAAAAAAGAGAGCCUCUCUCUGGAUGAAAUUAGCCCGUGGAACCAUUACAUGACCAUUUAUGUGCUUGUACAAGUGAAAUUAAUGUGGUACAACACACUUUUUUUUCCCCCUUCUGCUUGGCUGAACUGUAUUUUCACAGCAAACAUCAAUUAAGGAAGAAAGAUCAAGCUAAUAAACAGUAUGCAGCAUAUUCUGUGAUUAUUUGU